RNAcentral lists this unclassified non-coding RNA (139 nucleotides) under uncultured Ascomycota. Its description in RNAcentral is "sequence contains ITS1". Lineage: Eukaryota; Fungi; Ascomycota. The record is from RNAcentral.
CCUAGAGUUGUAGGCUUUGCCUGCUAUCUCUUACCCAUGUCUUUUGAGUACCUUCGUUUCCUCGGCGGGUCCGCCCGCCGAUUGGACAUAUUCAAACCCUUUGCAGUUGCAAUCAGCGUCUGAACAAACUUAAUAGUUA